GUCUAAGUACAUGCCGUAUUAAGCCGAAACCGCGAAUGGCUCAUUAAAUCAGUUAUUGUUUCCUUGGAUCAUACCUUACUACUUGGAUAACUGUGGCAGUUCUAGAGCUAAUACAUGCAGCAGAGCUCCGACCCUCUGGAGACGAACGCUUUUAUUAGAUCAAAACCAAUCGAACCGCGUCUCCGUAUUAUGUGGUGACUCUGUAUAACUUUGAGCUGAUCGCAUGGGCUCGUCCUGGCGACGUAUCUUCCAGGUGUCUGCCUUACAACUGUCGAUGGUACACUCUUAGACAAAAAAAAAGUCGCAUCAAGGAAGAG
RNAcentral lists this non-coding RNA (317 nucleotides) under Stegodyphus mimosarum. Its description in RNAcentral is "Eukaryotic small subunit ribosomal RNA". It matches the Rfam family "Eukaryotic small subunit ribosomal RNA", at positions 57 to 358 of the family's 1831-position model. Lineage: Eukaryota; Metazoa; Arthropoda; Arachnida; Araneae; Eresidae. The record is from Rfam by way of RNAcentral.